This is a non-coding RNA of Cucurbita pepo subsp. pepo (vegetable marrow), 487 nucleotides long. NCBI's taxonomy places the organism in Eukaryota, Viridiplantae, Streptophyta, Magnoliopsida, Cucurbitales, Cucurbitaceae. The record is from RefSeq and is a predicted model, not a curated record.
ACAUUGAAGAGUGAAUGAAAAUGAAGUCAGUUGUUAUAAUUUGCUUCAUUCUGAGCUUAGUGGCAGGAAGGUCCACAGCGUCCUUUAGGAAGUGCUACGCCAAGUGCUUCGUAGCGUGUGCUAUCACACCAGGCAUCACCCUUGGCACCUGCGGUGCAACGUGCUUGGCGAAGUGCCUGUUCAUUGCAUCAGCCCCAAUGGAUUUCAACCAUAUGGACACUCAUUACUUCUGCAAACUUGGGUGUGCCACUUCCAUGUGCACCAAAUUCAGCACCAAGAACGACCCAUCUGAGAAGAAAGUGGAAAGGUGUGUGGACUCGUGCGCUGGAACAUGCAUCAAAGCUUAGAAAGCAGAAACAUGAAGAAGGGAGGAGAAGGAGCUGGGAUUGGCCUUAACACCAUCAAUAAAUAAACAUAUUUUGGUGUAUGCAUGGUUUCAUGGUUUCAAGUUUGUGCAUGAUAUAUGAGAAUGAUGUGUUACGUGGAA